UCAAGCUAGAAAGGGCAAAUGGUGGAUGCCUUGGCGCCAAGAGGCGAUGAAGGACGCGGUCAGCUGCGAAAAGCUCCGGGGAGCCGCUAAACAGGCUUUGAUCCGGAGGUGUCCGAAUGGGGAAACCCGGUCCCGGUAAUACGGGGCCAUCAAGCUUAGGCUUGAGGCGAACCCGGGGAACUGAAACAUCUCAGUACCCGGAGGAAAAGAAAUCAAAAGAGAUUCCGCAAGUAGCGGCGAGCGAACGCGGAACAGCCCAAACCGGAGUCUUCGGACUUCGGGGUUGUAGGGUCCCGACAAGGGGAUGUUGAAGGGUAGCGGAAUGGUCUGGAAAGGCCGUCCAUAGAGGGUGAGAGGCCCGUACGCAAAACCCGGAAGCACCUCUGGGAUACCCUGAGUACCGCGGGGCACGUGGAACCCCGUGGGAAGCUGGGAGGACCAUCUUCCAAGGCUAAAUACUACUUGGCGACCGAUAGUGAACUAGUACCGUGAGGGAAAGGUGAAAAGUACCCCGGGAGGGGAGUGAAAUAGUACCUGAAACCAUUUGCCUACAAGCAGUGGGAGGACGGUGACAAGGGUUACGGCCUUUGUCUGUCUGACCGCGUGCCUUUUGCAUAAUGAGUCAGCGAGUUACUCUCUGUGGCAAGGUUAAGCCGAGCGAGGUGUAGCCGAAGCGAAAGCGAGUCCGAACAGGGCGCAAUAGUUGCAGGGAGUAGACCCGAAACCAGGUGAUCUAUCCAUGGCCAGGGUGAAGGUAAGGUAACGCUUACUGGAGGCCCGAACCGAAGAGGGUUGAAAACCUCUCGGAUGAGCUGUGGAUAGGAGUGAAAGGCUAAUCAAACCUGGAAAUAGCUGGUUCUCCCCGAAAUGCAUUGAGGUGCAGCCUCGGAGUGAGAACGGCGGAGGUAGAGCGCUGGAUGGGCUAGGGGUCUUACCGGAUUACCAAACCCAACCAAACUGCGAAUGCCGCCGUAUCGUCUCCGGGAGUGAGACUGCGGGAGAUAAGUUCCGCGGUCGAGAGGGAAAGAGCCCAGACCGUCAGCUAAGGUCCCCAAAUAGGCGCUAAGUGGCAAAGGAUGUGGGGAUGCACAGACAACCAGGAGGUUGGCUUAGAAGCAGCCAUCCUUUAAAGAAAGCGUAAUAGCUCACUGGUCAAGUGUGCCUGCGCCGAAAAUUUAACGGGUCUAAAGCGCCUUACCGAAGCUGCGGCAACAGAGGUCGGAUAACAGAUGUCGGGUGUCGGAUAUCAGAGGUCGGAGAAUGCCCAUCUAUAGCUAUCGUGAUCUUGAGGUGUACGGGGAGGCUUUCGAGCUUGCCCUGAAGGUGCACCGAAGGAGUGAGGACUUCCCGUCGGCGGAAUGCUACGGGAUGACUUCCCAGGUGCGCAGGAGUUCGAAGAGCAUCUGUGCGUUGAUAGCGGAGGGGUUUGGCCGCAAGGAUACCGUGGUUGAGUUUAAGAGGUACUUGCGGAUGGCGCAUGGGUCGGUGCAGGAAACCAAGGUGUGGCUGGGGUUUGCCGAAGCCCUGGGUUUUCUGGCCGAAGGUGCGUACCGGGAGUUGUGGGAAGGCUAUGAUCGUCUUGGGAAACGGAUAUACAGGAUGAUCGCGACGUGGGACAAGGUUGGGUCGCAAGCCGGAACGCGAUGAGUUCUCCGAGUGGUGAUAUGUUCGAUACCGUAAUGGAUAGCAUCGGGAAGGUCGGGGUUUUGUGAUACCGACAGCCGAUACCCGAUACCCGUUAUCCGACCUCCGUUGGGUAGGGGAGCAUUGCACGAGCCUGCGAAGGUGUACCGUGAGGAGCGCUGGAGGCAGUGCAAGAGAUUAUGCUGACAUGAGUAACGAUAAAGCGGGUGAGAAUCCCGCUCGCCGUAAGCCUAAGGUUUCCUGGGUAAAGGUCGUCUGCCCAGGGUUAGUCGGCCCCUAAGCCGAGGCAGAAAUGCGUAGGUGAUGGGAAACGGGUUAAUAUUCCUGUACCACCGGGAAAGCGUUAAAAGCGAUGGGGGGACGCAGGAGGGUAGGCCAUCCGGGUGUUGGAAGUCCCGGUAUAAGCCUGUAGGCGGGGAUGGCAGGCAAAUCCGCUGUCCUGUAUAACGCCGAGAGGUGAUGUGGAGGGCGAAAGCCCGCAAACUGGUUGAUCCCAGACUGCCAAGAAAAGCCUCUAGUGAGUUUUCCAGGUGACCGUACCGCAAACCGACACAGGUAGGCGAGGAGAGAAUCCUAAGGCGCGUGAGAGAACCCUGUUUAAGGAACUCGGCAAAAUGACACCGUAACCUAGGGAGAAGGUGUGCCCUCAUCAGGUGAAGGGACUUGCUCCUGGAGCCGAGGGGGGUUGCAGAGAAGAGGCGGUAGCGACUGUUUACUAAAAACACAGGACUCUGCUAAGUCGCAAGACGACGUAUAGGGUCUGACGCCUGCCCGGUGCUGGAAGGUUAAGGGGAGAUGUUAUUGCGCAAGCGAGAAGCGUUGAACACGGCGGCCGUAACUAUAACGGUCCUAAGGUAGCGAAAUUCCUUGUCGGGUAAGUUCCGACCUGCACGAAUGGCGUAACGACUUCCGCACUGUCUCAAACAGGGACUCAGUGAAAUUGCAGUCUCGGUGCAGAUACCGAGUACCCGCGGCUAGACGGAAAGACCCCGUGCACCUUUACUACAGCUUGGCAUUGGAUUUUGGGCGUGUAUGUGUAGGAUAGGUGGGAGGCGAUGAAGCGGGGGCGCCAGCUCUCGUGGAGCCAACGUUGAAAUACCACCCUUAUGCGUCUAGAGUUCUAACCCAGGAAAGUGAUCCUUUCCGGGGACAGUGCCUGGUGGGUAGUUUGACUGGGGCGGUCGCCUCCCAAAGGGUAACGGAGGCGCGCGAAGGUUCCCUCAGGCUGAUUGGAAACCAGCCGUAGAGUGUAAAGGCAGAAGGGAGCCUGACUGUGAGACGGACACGUCGAGCAGGGACGAAAGUCGGUCUUAGUGAUCCGGUGGUUCUGAAUGGAAGGGCCAUCGCUCAACGGAUAAAAGGUACGCCGGGGAUAACAGGCUGAUCUCCCCCA
This 3037-nucleotide ribosomal RNA is filed under the name Syntrophobacterales bacterium Delta_01. Its description in RNAcentral is "bacterial LSU rRNA". It matches the Rfam family "Bacterial large subunit ribosomal RNA", at positions 3 to 2494 of the family's 2925-position model. The record is from RNAcentral. Lineage: Bacteria; Pseudomonadati; Thermodesulfobacteriota; Syntrophobacteria; Syntrophobacterales.